CAGUCGUACCGGUGGGUAAUCAGCCUUUCGGCGUGAUUAUGUGGAGCGUGAGGAGUUAAACGCCCUCAUGCCUGCAUAUUCGUGUUCUUUGGGUGUACUUACCCGCAUGGUAGGUUAACAUCAAUUUCGAACGUCAUAAAAUGGUUGGAGGAAUGUAGCUUCGAUCUCGUAUUGAAGUGUUAUAGCCUCCGGCAGAUGUGAUGAUCGGGAUUGAGGAUUGCAAACGGAUACCCUUCGGGGCUACCCGUCUGAUCUCUGAAAGUUACUCUGGUGCCGAAAGCUCGCUUACGGUCAUCAAAGUUGACGUUCAACAGGUUAGAACGGGAUAAA
RNAcentral lists this ribosomal RNA (330 nucleotides) under uncultured Glomus. RNAcentral's name for it is "eukaryotic LSU rRNA". Lineage: Eukaryota; Fungi; Glomeromycota; Glomeromycetes; Glomerales; Glomeraceae. The record is from RNAcentral.